This 557-nucleotide ribosomal RNA is filed under the name uncultured bacterium. RNAcentral describes it as "partial 16S ribosomal RNA". It matches the Rfam family "Bacterial small subunit ribosomal RNA", at positions 355 to 902 of the family's 1533-position model. The record is from RNAcentral.
UGGGGAAUAUUGCACAAUGGGCGGAAGCCUGAUGCAGCAAUGCCGCGUGUGUGAAGAAGGCCUUCGGGUUGUAAAGCACUUUUGUCCGGAAAGAAAUCCUUGGCUCUAAUACAGUCGGGGGAUGACGGUACCGGAAGAAUAAGCACCGGCUAACUACGUGCCAGCAGCCGCGGUAAUACGUAGGGUGCAAGCGUUAAUCGGAAUUACUGGGCGUAAAGCGUGCGCAGGCGGUUUGCUAAGACCGAUGUGAAAUCCCCGGGCUCAACCUGGGAACUGCAUUGGUGACUGGCAGGCUAGAGUAUGGCAGAGGGGGGUAGAAUUCCACGUGUAGCAGGUGAAAUGCGUAGAGAUGUGGAGGAAUACCGAUGGCGAAGGCAGCCCCCUGGGCCAAUACUGACGCUCAUGCACGAAAGCGUGGGGAGCAAACAGGAUUAGAUACCCUGGUAGUCCACGCCCUAAACGAUGUCAACUAGUUGUUGGGGAUUCAUUUCCUUAGUAACGUAGCUAACGCGUGAAGUUUGGACCGCCUGGGGAGUACGGUCGCAAGAUUAAAACUC